Molecule: long non-coding RNA, 473 nt
Filed under: Capsicum annuum
Lineage: Eukaryota; Viridiplantae; Streptophyta; Magnoliopsida; Solanales; Solanaceae
Description: long non-coding RNA (CANN_LNC020223)
Source: RNAcentral
ACUCCAAUAAUAUUUAUAAUAAUCCAAAAGAAUAACUUUAGAAAAAAAUUGAAAGUCUAAGUAAUGAUAAAAGAUUUCUAAGCAUGAAAAUUUUUUCUUAAUAAAUUAAUAUAUUUUAAAGAAAAGAAUAAGAAUAUAAUUUUGACUAAAUAAGUUUGAUGAUUUAAAUAAGUCUCUUAUUAAAAAAAUAAUUUAAUAACAUCGUCCGCCAAUUAGAAGAGAAAGAGACAUAUACGUUACUUGUUUUUUUUUUAGAAUAAUAGUGAAAGUUGAGUUAUAUUAUUAUCUCUAAAAAGAUAAAAAUAAUUUUUGUAGGAAAUUAAAAAAUUAUGAGUGGCCAAUGACAAAAAUAACCCUUGAAAAAAUAUAUGUCAAGUUAUAGUACCGAUAAAGUUUUUCUAAGUAUAAUUUUUUUUAAUAAACUAAUGCAUUCUUUCAAAGAAAAAAAGAACUAUAGAUUGAUUGAAUGAGUU